UGGGGAAUUUUGGACAAUGGGCGCAAGCCUGAUCCAGCAAUGCCGCGUGCAGGAUGAAGGCCUUCGGGUUGUAAACUGCUUUUGUACGGAACGAAAAAGCUCUCUCUAAUACAGGGGGUGAAUGACGGUACCGUAAGAAUAAGCACCGGCUAACUACGUGCCAGCAGCCGCGGUAAUACGUAGGGUGCAAGCGUUAAUCGGAAUUACUGGGCGUAAAGCGUGCGCAGGCGGUUUUGUAAGACAGAGGUGAAAUCCCCGGGCUCAACCUGGGAACUGCCUUUGUGACUGCAAAGCUGGACUGCGGCAGAGGGGGAUGGAAUUCCGCGUGUAGCAGUGAAAUGCGUAGAUAUGCGGAGGAACACCGAUGGCGAAGGCAAUCCCCUGGGCCUGCACUGACGCUCAUGCACGAAAGCGUGGGGAGCAAACA
Molecule: ribosomal RNA, 427 nt
Filed under: uncultured bacterium
Lineage: Bacteria
Description: bacterial SSU rRNA
Rfam family: Bacterial small subunit ribosomal RNA
Source: RNAcentral